AUGUCACCACUCUUCACUCCCAGUGCAAAUUGAGACUGAUUUCAUGCACGGGGGUGGGAGCAGCAGUAGUGGGGUCCUUGUGCUCCCCAGUGAAGCAUCCCACAUGGGAAGCACGUAUGCUGAGCACUGUAUCUGCAAUGCGGUCUCUCCUGCAUGCAGCACUGGGAGCUCCUCCCCAGGGGUGCCAACAGCAUCUCGAUGGGUGAACACGCGCGGAAUUGGCAAUUGGUGCCCUUAAAUUAUCCUCUGACAUCUCUGACAUUGGGAGGUGCUGGGGGGCCCCACAAAUCUCAACUUUUGCUGCUGCCUCUUCUCUCUCUUUUUUUUUCUUUUUAAAUAGGUUUUUCUUAUGGUUUUCUUAAUUUAUUUUUUUUUAGCCACAGCAACGAAGCGAACCGUUCAAAUUGAAACACUGAAAUGAACCGCGCUGAACAAUAAACUAAAACAUGCCUAGAGCAAGUUGAGCAAUAAACAGGUUUUUAAUUUUUUUCCUUCCCCUUCCAUCUCUGUGGUGUCUGCCUCUGAUAGAUGAUGUGACAAAGGAAGAAUCCUCAAUAAAUUCUAAAUUCUGAAUACUAAAUCAGCGAGCACGAGCAGAACGCAAGGAGCUCUCAGUGGCUUUGCCAAUGCAGUGCUGAGGAUGAAGCUGGACCAGAGUGAUGAUCCUUACAUAGGCCGUGGCUUUAUCCAACAAAGGCCCAUAGCCCACGUCUGGAGCAACCCAGCAGCCUGGCUGAAGACAUUUUCCUUCCACUGAACUUGCAUCUCAGCUUGAAACUGACACAGGCAAAUGUGGAGGAGCACAGCCCAGAUCUGCAACUGAAUCCAUCCAGCUGAGCAUGGCUGCCCUGAACAACCUGCGGCACAGAUGAGCGCAAGCUGAAUAAUUCAGGCAUUCAGAUUACAACCUGUAGUCACCUGAGA
Gallus gallus (chicken) is the source of this 924-nucleotide long non-coding RNA. RefSeq lists it as uncharacterized. NCBI's taxonomy places the organism in Eukaryota, Metazoa, Chordata, Aves, Galliformes, Phasianidae. The record is from RefSeq and is a predicted model, not a curated record. The transcript has 2 exons.